GUUUGAUCAUGGCUCAGGACGAACGCUGGCGGCGUGCCUAACACAUGCAAGUCGAACGAAGCUUGACGAAUGAUUUCUUCGGAAUGAAAUCUGAUAUGACUGAGUGGCGGACGGGUGAGUAACGCGUGAGCAACCUGCCCUUCGGAACGGGAUAGUGUCUGGAAACGGACAGUAAUACCGUAUAACGUAUUUUUACCGCAUGAUAGAAAUACCAAAACUGAGGUGCCGAAGGAUGGGCUCGCGUCUGAUUAGAUAGUUGGUGGGGUAACGGCCUACCAAGUCGACGAUCAGCAGCCGGACUGAGAGGUUGAACGGCCACAUUGGGACUGAGACACGGCCCAGACUCCUACGGGAGGCAGCAGUGGGGAAUAUUGCACAAUGGGGGAAACCCUGAUGCAGCAACGCCGCGUGAAGGAAGACGGUUUUCGGAUUGUAAACUUCUGUUCUUAGUGAAGAAUAAUGACGGUAGCUAAGGAGCAAGCCACGGCUAACUACGUGCCAGCAGCCGCGGUAAUACGUAGGUGGCAAGCGUUGUCCGGAAUUACUGGGUGUAAAGGGAGCGUAGGCGGGAUGCCAAGUCAGCUGUGAAAACUAUGGGCUUAACCCGUAGACUGCAGUUGAAACUGGUAU
RNAcentral lists this ribosomal RNA (630 nucleotides) under uncultured bacterium. RNAcentral's name for it is "bacterial SSU rRNA". It matches the Rfam family "Bacterial small subunit ribosomal RNA", at positions 11 to 639 of the family's 1533-position model. The record is from RNAcentral.